Molecule: ribosomal RNA, 301 nt
Filed under: uncultured bacterium
Lineage: Bacteria
Description: partial 16S ribosomal RNA
Rfam family: Bacterial small subunit ribosomal RNA
Source: RNAcentral
CAGUAGCCGCGGUAAUACGUAGGGUGCGAGCGUUGUCCGGAAUUAUUGGGCGUAAAGAGCUUGUAGGCGGUCUGUCGCGUCUGCUGUGAAAACCCGAGGCUCAACCUCGGGCCUGCAGUGGGUACGGGCAGACUAGAGUGCGGUAGGGGAGAACGGAACUCCUGGUGUAGCGGUGGAAUGCGCAGAUAUCAGGAAGAACACCGAUGGCGAAGGCAGUUCUCUGGGCCGUAACUGACGCUGAGAAGCGAAAGCGUGGGGAGCGAACAGGAUUAGAUACCCGCGUAGUCCCUGUCUCUUAUAC